GGAGAAUCUGAUCCGGCGGGAUCCGGCGAAGGCCGCCGUCCCCGGCGGCGGCCUCCAUCCGAUCACGCGGUACGUGAUGAAUUACCUCCGUGCGGCGUGUGCGUCGCGGCGGACGCUGGAGGAGGUGAUGGAGGAGGAUGCGGCACCGGCGGUGGAGCUGGAUCGGCCGUCAUCGUUGCUAGCGGUGCAGAUUGCGUGGUUAAUGGAUGUGCUGCAGGGGAAUUUGGAGGCGAAGUCGAAGAUUUACAAGGAUGCGGCUCUGAGCUGUGUGUUCUUGAUGAACAAUGGGAGGUAUAUUAUACAGAAAGUGAAAGAUAGUGAGCUGAGCUUGCUGCUCGGGGAGGAUUGGAUUCGGCGGAUGACAGUGAAGGUGCGGCGGUGGAGCAAC
Molecule: unclassified non-coding RNA, 388 nt
Filed under: Hevea brasiliensis (rubber tree)
Lineage: Eukaryota; Viridiplantae; Streptophyta; Magnoliopsida; Malpighiales; Euphorbiaceae
Source: RNAcentral